GAAAGCCAUCGCAAAGGACGUACCUUGCGUGUUUUGGUAUUUGUGUAGAUGCCAUGUCUAGACAGACCGAAAUCUGAUAUUUUCAAUGUCUUAUUGUUGUCGAUUAGUACAUUGCGCGCUGCCAGGUCGCUGAGGAUUAGAAUUUUCACAGAAAUUAUAAUUUUCGGACUUGCGAACAACUUCUGUGUUGCCAUCAAAAGCAUUUUUCGGUAUAAUUGAAAAAUGAAUGAAUUUCAUAUUGAAGAACGGUUCGGGUACGUAUCUACCCGCAGCAGGUAAGAAGCUAUGAUACUUAACAGGUAAAAUUAACCACAUUUACUUAGUUGGGCUAAUUAGCUUUUUGGGAAUUGAUAUACAAAUAUUUGCAGGAAUUUAUUCUGCCUUAUUUACACUAAUUUGCAACUGUUUUUAUACUAUA
This 418-nucleotide small RNA is filed under the name Drosophila virilis. RNAcentral's name for it is "GJ26386". The record is from RNAcentral. Lineage: Eukaryota; Metazoa; Arthropoda; Insecta; Diptera; Drosophilidae.